Long non-coding RNA from Phascolarctos cinereus (koala), 1987 nucleotides. Lineage: Eukaryota; Metazoa; Chordata; Mammalia; Diprotodontia; Phascolarctidae. The record is from Ensembl.
GAGGAGGAGGGGGAGGAGGGAGGCCGCCCGCCGCCCCCGCCCUCCCUGCGCGCUCCUCGGCGGCGGCCCCAUGUCCCCGGGCCCGAAGCCCCGCGGCGGGCGGCCCCCCCCGCGCGUAGCCGAGGUGGGGCGCCUCGUGUCCCCGCCCCGCGCCGCCGCGCUCCCCCGCGCCCGCCGAGGACAUGGUACGUUCCAGUGGCCCCGCGCUCAGCCCCGCCGGGGGGGCUUCGGCGGCGGCGGGGAGGACGCGGCGGCGGCGGCGGUGGCGGACGAGGGUCCGGGGCUGGGGCUGGCGAGCCGGGGCCGAGGGCGCAGCAGCGAGCCGAGAGCCACCCCCCCGCCGCCCCGGGCCACGGCCACGGCCGGCAGCAGCAGCGGCGGCGGCGGCCUCGCCCCUCGCUGGCACCCGGCGGGCCCCCCGCGGGCUGGCAUGACUCUGUUCGGCAGCGAAGAAGCGUGUCGGAGAUCAGUAACUGUGACCUGAACUAUGAGCUGUAUCGGGAAGACUUCCCCUACAGGGUAUAUGAGUAUCAGAGGAUCCCCCCACUUAUCAACCGAGCACCUGUCAAGAGCAGACGGACCCACAUGGGUGCAGGAGGCAAGAGCGGCCUCAGUCCCCACAUCCCUCCACGAAGCAACAACCCACCCCCCAUCCGGACAAAGUUAAGAGCUGAGGAGCUGCACUCGAUCAAGGGGGAGCUGAGCCAGAUCAAGGUCCAGGUGGACAGUCUGCUCGAGAGCCUGGAGCGUAUGGACCAGCGGCGAGACAGACUGGGAGGGCCCCAAGAAGGUGAGAAGAAGGCAACCUCAGCCAGUGGGGAGUCCUCCGGUGCAGCGGCUGAGGCCCAGCGAGAGCCCCGGGGCAAAGAGAGCCCGGAGCCCCGAGCCCGCAGCCGCAGGGAUGCCGACAGUGCGGAGGAGAGCACAGACACGGAGGAGGCGGGGAGGAUGAAAAAUCACACCUCGGACCCUGAUGGGAGUCAGUAGAAGCUCUGGGGCCCCUGCUGUGGCCUCCCCAGCUCGGAUCCUUUCCUUUUCCUGUGUUUGUAUUUCUUUGAGGCCCCCCAGCCAGUGCCACGUGUCUCCUGCCCUCCAGUCUCCCUACUGUUACAGUAGAGCCUCGUCUGCUCCUGCCCACGGGAGCCUGCGGGGUGUCCUGUGUCCUCUACAGAAGCCAGGCAGAAGUCCCUGAGGUGCAGGCCUGCAGUAUGGGUCUGGGGAGGCAGGAAAAUCCAGCACGUCUAGAAUUUCCUUUUGAAUACCAACCCUCCUUUCCUCUGUGUUGUUCCCCCCCAUCCCAUGAAAAAGGGGUUCCCUUGGUAGUAAGACUUGGCAGGACAGGGGCAUUUGGGGAAGAGUCUGGGCAGACCCCACAAUUCCAAAUUCUUCCUUCUCUUCCCUCACGAAGAUGCUUAGUGAUGAUUUUCAGUUCCCCACCCCUCUUGGGUACCCUCAUCAUCUCUCCUUGGGGUAGAACUGGUGCCAUCCUGCCCCUUGAUCUCUCUGACAUAGCUUGUAACAGUAUCGGCCCCAGCAGAACGUGGUUCAUCUAAGACACCACCCAGGUUCUGGUCCCCACCUGAGCCCCCAGUGUUCCUUCUGGGGCUCCCUCAGCCGGCCUUCCUCCCAGCAGCGUGAGGAGAGGGGAUUGGUGUCCCUGAGAAGGCCAGCCAAGCCAAAUGUUGGACAGCUCCCGUGGCUCACCAAGGUUUCCCCUUUUCCCGGGAUCACGUGGCUUCAAUGGUUUGCACUACUAGCCUUCGUGUGGCCCCUUUCUCUCCUCCCGGUCCCCACAGAAUUCCGUACCCGCAGUGGUGCAUGGGAAAUGAGUUCUGUUUCUGACAGGUGCAUUUCUGCUCCGCAGAAGAUACAGCCAGGUCCUUGGUUGACGUUGCCCUGAUUCACCCUGUUAUUUCCCUGCCUUCCCUCCCUUUCCCUCCAUGCUGUCCUUUCAGAACAGGUGUAGUUCAUUCUCACGUCCAGUUUC